RNAcentral lists this ribosomal RNA (429 nucleotides) under Gemmatimonadota bacterium. Its description in RNAcentral is "Gemmatimonadetes bacterium partial 16S ribosomal RNA". It matches the Rfam family "Bacterial small subunit ribosomal RNA", at positions 355 to 776 of the family's 1533-position model. The record is from RNAcentral. Lineage: Bacteria; Pseudomonadati; Gemmatimonadota.
UAGGGAAUCUUCGGCAAUGGACGAAAGUCUGACCGAGCAACGCCGCGUGAGUGAAGAAGGUUUUCGGAUCGUAAAACUCUGUUGUUAGAGAAGAACAAGGACGUUAGUAACUGAACGUCCCCUGACGGUAUCUAACCAGAAAGCCACGGCUAACUACGUGCCAGCAGCCGCGGUAAUACGUAGGUGGCAAGCGUUGUCCGGAUUUAUUGGGCGUAAAGCGAGCGCAGGCGGUUUCUUAAGUCUGAUGUGAAAGCCCCCGGCUCAACCGGGGAGGGUCAUUGGAAACUGGGAGACUUGAGUGCAGAAGAGGAGAGUGGAAUUCCAUGUGUAGCGGUGAACUGCGUAGAUAUAUGGAGGAACCCCAGUGGCGAAGGCGGCUCUCUGGUCUGUAACUGGCGCUGAGGCUCGAAAGCGUGGGGAGCAAACAGG